GAGUGAGUGGCGGACGGGUGAGUAACACGUGGGUAACCUGCCCUAAAGUGGGGGAUAACAUUUGGAAACAGAUGCUAAUACCGCAUAAAACCUAACACCGCAUGGUGUAGGGUUGAAAGAUGGUUUCGGCUAUCACUUUAGGAUGGACCCGCGGUGCAUUAGUUAGUUGGUGAGGUAAAGGCUCACCAAGACCGUGAUGCAUAGCCGACCUGAGAGGUAAUCGGCCACACUGGGACUGAGACACGGCCCAGACUCCUACGGGAGGCAGCAGUAGGGAAUCUUCCACAAUGGACGAAAGUCUGAUGGAGCAACGCCGCGUGAGUGAAGAAGGUUUUCGGAUCGUAAAACUCUGUUGUUGGAGAAGAAUGUAUCUGAUAGUAACUGAUCAGGUAGUGACGGUAUCCAACCAGAAAGCCACGGCUAACUACGUG
Molecule: ribosomal RNA, 431 nt
Filed under: uncultured bacterium
Lineage: Bacteria
Description: bacterial SSU rRNA
Rfam family: Bacterial small subunit ribosomal RNA
Source: RNAcentral